RNAcentral lists this long non-coding RNA (319 nucleotides) under Mytilus galloprovincialis (Mediterranean mussel). The record is from RNAcentral. Lineage: Eukaryota; Metazoa; Mollusca; Bivalvia; Mytilida; Mytilidae.
UAAAAUAUUAAAAUAUAAACUAGAGGCUCUAAAGAGCCUGUGUCGCUCACCUUGGUCUAUGUGAAUAUUAAACAAUGGACACAGGUGGAUUCAUGACAAAAUUGUGUUUUGGUGAUGGUGAUGUGUUUGUAGAUCUUACUUUACUAAACAUUCUUGCUGCUUACAAUUAUCUCUAUCUAUAACAGUACUUUCUGUGGAAAAUGUUAUUUGAAAAAUCUUCAAAUUUUAAGAAAAUUGUUAAAAAUUGACUAUGAAGGGCAAUAACUCCUUAAGGGGGUCAAUUGACUAUUUUGGUCAUACUGACUUAUUUUUAGUUCUU